RNAcentral lists this ribosomal RNA (2931 nucleotides) under Klebsiella aerogenes. RNAcentral describes it as "bacterial LSU rRNA". It matches the Rfam family "Bacterial large subunit ribosomal RNA". Lineage: Bacteria; Pseudomonadati; Pseudomonadota; Gammaproteobacteria; Enterobacterales; Enterobacteriaceae. The record is from RNAcentral.
GGGUUGUGAGGUUAAGCGACUAAGCGUACACGGUGGAUGCCCUGGCAGUCAGAGGCGAUGAAGGACGUGCUAAUCUGCGAAAAGCGUCGGUAAGGUGAUAUGAACCGUUACAGCCGGCGAUGUCCGAAUGGGGAAACCCAGUGCAAUUCGUUGCACUAUCGUUAACUGAAUACAUAGGUUAACGAGGCGAACCGGGGGAACUGAAACAUCUAAGUACCCCGAGGAAAAGAAAUCAACCGAGAUUCCCCCAGUAGCGGCGAGCGAACGGGGAGCAGCCCAGAGUCUGAAUCAGCUUGUGUGUUAGUGGAACGGUCUGGAAAGUCCGACGGUACAGGGUGAUAGUCCCGUACACCAAAAUGCACAGGUUGUGAACUCGAAGAGUAGGGCGGGACACGUGGUAUCCUGUCUGAAUAUGGGGGGACCAUCCUCCAAGGCUAAAUACUCCUGACUGACCGAUAGUGAACCAGUACCGUGAGGGAAAGGCGAAAAGAACCCCGGCGAGGGGAGUGAAAAAGAACCUGAAACCGUGUACGUACAAGCAGUGGGAGCACCUUCGGGUGUGACUGCGUACCUUUUGUAUAAUGGGUCAGCGACUUAUAUUCUGUAGCAAGGUUAACCGUAUAGGGGAGCCGCAGGGAAACCGAGUCUUAACUGGGCGUUAAGUUGCAGGGUAUAGACCCGAAACCCGGUGAUCUAGCCAUGGGCAGGUUGAAGGUUGGGUAACACUAACUGGAGGACCGAACCGACUAAUGUUGAAAAAUUAGCGGAUGACUUGUGGCUGGGGGUGAAAGGCCAAUCAAACCGGGAGAUAGCUGGUUCUCCCCGAAAGCUAUUUAGGUAGCGCCUCGUGAACUCAUCUUCGGGGGUAGAGCACUGUUUCGGCUAGGGGGUCAUCCCGACUUACCAACCCGAUGCAAACUACGAAUACCGAAGAAUGUUAUCACGGGAGACACACGGCGGGUGCUAACGUCCGUCGUGAAGAGGGAAACAACCCAGACCGCCAGCUAAGGUCCCAAAGUCACAGUUAAGUGGGAAACGAUGUGGGAAGGCACAGACAGCCAGGAUGUUGGCUUAGAAGCAGCCAUCAUUUAAAGAAAGCGUAAUAGCUCACUGGUCGAGUCGGCCUGCGCGGAAGAUGUAACGGGGCUAAACUGUGCACCGAAGCUGCGGCAGCGACACUAUGUGUUGUUGGGUAGGGGAGCGUUCUGUAAGCCUGCGAAGGUGGCCUGUGAGGGUUGCUGGAGGUAUCAGAAGUGCGAAUGCUGACAUAAGUAACGAUAAUGCGGGUGAAAAGCCCGCACGCCGGAAGACCAAGGGUUCCUGUCCAACGUUAAUCGGGGCAGGGUGAGUCGACCCCUAAGGCGAGGCCGAAAGGCGUAGUCGAUGGGAAACAGGUUAAUAUUCCUGUACUUGGUGUUACUGCGAAGGGGGGACGGAGAAGGCUAUGUUAGCCGGGCGACGGUUGUCCCGGUUUAAGCAUGUAGGCGGAGGUUCCAGGUAAAUCCGGUACCUUUUAACGCUGAGGUGUGAUGACGAGGCACUACGGUGCUGAAGUAACAAAUGCCCUGCUUCCAGGAAAAGCCUCUAAGCAUCAGGUAACAUUGAAUCGUACCCCAAACCGACACAGGUGGUCAGGUAGAGAAUACCAAGGCGCUUGAGAGAACUCGGGUGAAGGAACUAGGCAAAAUGGUGCCGUAACUUCGGGAGAAGGCACGCUGAUAUGUAGGUGAAGCCCCUGCGGGUGGAGCUGAAAUCAGUCGAAGAUACCAGCUGGCUGCAACUGUUUAUUAAAAACACAGCACUGUGCAAACACGAAAGUGGACGUAUACGGUGUGACGCCUGCCCGGUGCCGGAAGGUUAAUUGAUGGGGUUAUCCGUAAGGAGAAGCUCUUGAUCGAAGCCCCGGUAAACGGCGGCCGUAACUAUAACGGUCCUAAGGUAGCGAAAUUCCUUGUCGGGUAAGUUCCGACCUGCACGAAUGGCGUAAUGAUGGCCAGGCUGUCUCCACCCGAGACUCAGUGAAAUUGAACUCGCUGUGAAGAUGCAGUGUACCCGCGGCAAGACGGAAAGACCCCGUGAACCUUUACUAUAGCUUGACACUGAACAUUGAGCCUUGAUGUGUAGGAUAGGUGGGAGGCUUUGAAGCGUGGACGCCAGUCUGCGUGGAGCCAACCUUGAAAUACCACCCUUUAAUGUUUGAUGUUCUAACGUUGGCCCCUGACCGGGGUUGCGGACAGUGUCUGGUGGGUAGUUUGACUGGGGCGGUCUCCUCCCAAAGAGUAACGGAGGAGCACGAAGGUUAGCUAAUCCUGGUCGGACAUCAGGAGGUUAGUGCAAUGGCAUAAGCUAGCUUGACUGCGAGCGUGACGGCGCGAGCAGGUGCGAAAGCAGGUCAUAGUGAUCCGGUGGUUCUGAAUGGAAGGGCCAUCGCUCAACGGAUAAAAGGUACUCCGGGGAUAACAGGCUGAUACCGCCCAAGAGUUCAUAUCGACGGCGGUGUUUGGCACCUCGAUGUCGGCUCAUCACAUCCUGGGGCUGAAGUAGGUCCCAAGGGUAUGGCUGUUCGCCAUUUAAAGUGGUACGCGAGCUGGGUUUAGAACGUCGUGAGACAGUUCGGUCCCUAUCUGCCGUGGGCGCUGGAGAAUUGAGGGGGGCUGCUCCUAGUACGAGAGGACCGGAGUGGACGCAUCACUGGUGUUCGGGUUGUCAUGCCAAUGGCAUUGCCCGGUAGCUAAAUGCGGAAGAGAUAAGUGCUGAAAGCAUCUAAGCACGAAACUUGCCCCGAGAUGAGUUCUCCCUGACUCCUUGAGAGUCCUGAAGGAACGUUAAAGACGAUGACGUUGAUAGGUCGGGUGUGUAAGCGUAGCGAUACGUUGAGCUAACCGAUACUAAUGAACCGUGAGGCUUAACCUUACAACGCCGAAGGUGUUU